Molecule: ribosomal RNA, 459 nt
Filed under: uncultured bacterium
Lineage: Bacteria
Description: partial 16S ribosomal RNA
Rfam family: Bacterial small subunit ribosomal RNA
Source: RNAcentral
CCUACGGGGUGCUGCAGUGAGGAAUAUUGGUCAAUGGCCGCAGGGCUGAACCAGCCAAGUCGCGUGAGGGAUGACGGUCCUAUGGAUUGUAAACCUCUUUUGUCAGGGAGCAAAGGGCGCCACGUGUGGCGCUUUGCGAGUACCUGAAGAAAAAGCAUCGGCUAACUCCGUGCCAGCAGCCGCGGUAAUACGGAGGAUGCGAGCGUUAUCCGGAUUUAUUGGGUUUAAAGGGUGCGCAGGCGGAAUGUCAAGUCAGCGGUAAAAUUUCGGGGCUCAACCCCGUCGUGCCGUUGAAACUGGCGUUCUUGAGUGAGCGAGAAGUAUGCGGAAUGCGUGGUGUAGCGGUGAAAUGCAUAGAUAUCACGCAGAACUACGAUUGCGAAGGCAGCAUACCGGCGCUCAACUGACGCUCAUGCACGAAAGCGUGGGUAUCGAACAGGAUUAGAUACCCGAGUAGUC